AUGGGCUCGCGUCCGAUUACCUAGUUGGUGAGAUAACAGCCCACCAAGGCGACGAUCGGUAGCCGACCUGAGAGGGUGAUCGGCCUUUUGGAACUGACAAACGGUCCAGACUCCUACGGGAGGCAGCAGUGGGGAAUAUUGGGCAAUGGGCGAAAGCCUGACCCAGCAACGCCGCGUGAGGGAAGAAGGGUUUCGGCUCGUAAACCUCUGUCCUAUGGGACGAAGGAAGUGACGGUACCAUAGGAGGAAGCCCCGGCUAACUACGUGCCAGCAGCCGCGGUAAUACGUAGGGGGCGAGCGUUGUCCGGAAUGAUUGGGCGUAAAGGGCGCGUAGGCGGCCUGCUAAGUCUGGAGUGAAAGUCCUGCUUUCAAGGUGGGAAUUGCUUUGGAUACUGGUGGGCUGGAGUGCAGGAGAGGAAAGCGGAAUUACCGGUGUAGCGGUGAAAUGCGUAGAGAUCGGUAGGAACACCAGUGGCGAAGGCGGCUUUCUGGACUGAAACUGACGCUGAGGCGCGAAAGCGUGGGGAGCAAACAGGAUUAGAUACCCUGGUAGUCCACGCGGUAAACGAUGAAUGCUAGGUGUAGGAGGUAUCGACCCCUUCUGUGCCGCAGUA
Molecule: ribosomal RNA, 614 nt
Filed under: uncultured Bacillota bacterium
Lineage: Bacteria; Bacillati; Bacillota
Description: bacterial SSU rRNA
Rfam family: Bacterial small subunit ribosomal RNA
Source: RNAcentral